Molecule: ribosomal RNA, 529 nt
Filed under: uncultured bacterium
Lineage: Bacteria
Description: bacterial SSU rRNA
Rfam family: Bacterial small subunit ribosomal RNA
Source: RNAcentral
CCUUGACAUACUAAGAACUUUCCAGAGAUGGAUUGGUGCCUUCGGGAACUUAGAUACAGGUGCUGCAUGGCUGUCGUCAGCUCGUGUCGUGAGAUGUUGGGUUAAGUCCCGNAACGAGCGCAACCCUUUUCCUAUUUGCCAGCGGGUCAUGCCGGGAACUUUAAGGAUACUGCCAGUGACAAACUGGAGGAAGGCGGGGACGACGUCAAGUCAUCAUGGCCCUUACGGCCAGGGCUACACACGUGCUACAAUGGUCGGUACAAAGGGUUGCUACCUCGCGAGAGGAUGCUAAUCUCAAAAAGCCGAUCGUAGUCCGGAUCGCAGUCUGCAACUCGACUGCGUGAAGUCGGAAUCGCUAGUAAUCGCGGAUCAGAAUGCCGCGGUGAAUACGUUCCCGGGCCUUGUACACACCGCCCGUCACACCAUGGGAGUUUGUUGCACCAGAAGUAGGUAGUCUAACCGCAAGGAGGACGCUUACCACGGUGUGGCCGAUGACUGGGUGAAGUCGUAACAAGGUAAGCGUAGAUGA